This 211-nucleotide small nuclear RNA is filed under the name Anolis carolinensis (green anole). RNAcentral describes it as "7SK RNA". It matches the Rfam family "7SK RNA", at positions 1 to 199 of the family's 331-position model. Rfam says of the family: 7SK was discovered as an abundant small nuclear RNA in the mid-70s but a possible function has only recently been suggested. Two independent studies have found that 7SK RNA binds the CDK9/cyclin T complex (known as elongation factor P-TEFb). The record is from Rfam by way of RNAcentral. Lineage: Eukaryota; Metazoa; Chordata; Lepidosauria; Squamata; Anolidae.
GAGUGUGAGGGUGAUUUGGCUGCAACAUCUGUCACCCCAUUGGUCACCAGGAUUGAUUCGGCUGAUCUUGCUGGCUAGGUGGGUUUCCCCUUUCUACUUAACUGUUCCAUGUGCGUCCCUCCCAAAGCUGCAGACUCAGUGGAAGAGGAUGAUGUCCCAGGAAAAAAGGAGUGUACCGAGGUCCCCAUUUUUUGAUUCUGGGUAUACAAUA